RNAcentral lists this unclassified non-coding RNA (357 nucleotides) under soil metagenome. RNAcentral describes it as "partial contains 5.8S ribosomal RNA, internal transcribed spacer 2, and large subunit ribosomal RNA". The stretch from base 1 to 120 matches the Rfam family "5.8S ribosomal RNA", at positions 35 to 154 of the family's 154-position model. The record is from RNAcentral.
GAUGAAGAACGUAGCGAAAUGCGAUAAGUAAUGUGAAUUGCAGAAUUCAGUGAAUCAUCGAAUCUUUGAACGCAUAUUGCGCCCGCUGGUAUUCCGGCGGGCAUGCCUGUUCGAGCGUCAUUUCAACCCUCAAGCUCUCCGGAGUUUGGUGUUGGGGCGCCUGGGGCUUUUCGACCUCAGGGCCCUCAAGUCCAUCGGCGGGACCGCCAGGACACUGAGCGCAGUAGUAUUAUUUCGCUCGGUAGGAUCUUCCACGGCGGGUCGAUCUGGCCGCUAAACCCCCCAAUUCUCACCAAAGGUUGACCUCGGAUCAGGUAGGAAUACCCGCUGAACUUAAGCAUAUCAAUAAGCGGAGGA